CUGGCUGGGGCUCCUGAUGAAGGUGCUGCUCCUAUGAUCACACUGGGCCGUCGGAUAAUCCAGGAUAAUCUCCCCAUUUUAAGGUCAACCCACCAGUUACCUUAAUUUCAUCUGCAAAGCCCCUCUUGCCACGUGAUAGAGCAUAACCAUGGGCAUGGCCCCAGAACGUGAAGGUCAUGGGGGCUGCAAUUCUGCCUACCACAUUGACUUCAUCAGCAACAGGUCCAGUUCGGGAUGAAUCGCCUCUGAAGGGUGCUCUGAAGUGCUCCAGCUGAAGUUUUGGCCAUCUCCGCCAGCCACACCCCACUGGGUUCCUCCUCCCCAGCUCUGGCUGUUUCGUCCCCUCUAGCCAUCGCCCACCGUCCACACUGCCAUACGGCCGCUCAGGACAUCCCAGUUCCCUCCUGCCCGAGAGCUCUCAUCUGAGGACGCGCAUCAUUCCUCAGGAAACUCUAUCUUUCCACACCACCCCCAGCUGUUCUCAGCCACCCAGAAAAAAGGAACAUAAACGCUAAUGGGGAAAAACAUGGGGACACAUCUCAUUUCACCCCACACUCCCUCAGCUCAACCUGGGAAUGUAACCUGCAGGGCAGCAAGACCAGAAGCAACACCACUCCAGUUCUCCCAAGGGCCAAUGGCAUAGCCCUUGGGUAUUCUCAGGGUUCUCUUACCCAGACAGGUGGCCAGCUAGCAGGAGUGCACACACUUCCAAAUAUCAGCUAAAGUCAAAUGAUGGCUCAAUCUUCUCCAUCUAUUAAAUCAAAUUGGUGCUAGGCUCAAUGGCCAAGGAUGCAAAGCUGGUUGUCUUUGGUCCCUUCCAAACUGUGGUCUGUGAAUGAGCAGUGGUAGGUAUUACCUUGGAGUUGCUACAUCUAUAGAGUCCCUCCUAGUGAACUGGAAUCUGCAUUUUAAUGAGAUACCCAGGUGAUCUGUAAGCACAUCCUGAAAUGCUGAGGAAAACCUGAAGUCAGCAGCAGAAAGGCGGACUCCAGCUGUGUCCAGGCAUCCUUCGUUCCGAGUCCAGUCCUUACCUGGCCCAUACAGGCCCAACUCCCAGCCACUCUUCCUCCUCCAUCAAGCACCACCUAUCUCUUGAGAUCUUUCACAAAAAUAAACUUUAGGGAAGGGUGGGACCUUUGGAAUAAUCUAGUCUUACCCCACCUCAUGGCCUCUUGCAUGUCAGCGCCAUCACCAUCAUCAUGCCACGUGCUGUGUCUCAGAGCCUGUUCCCUCCUAGUUUAAGAUCUUUGAGAAACCAUGUCUUUUCAUCUCUGUAUCCUCAAAGUCUGGCUGAUCCAGUCCGGUAUAUAGCAGGUCUGCUAAAUUGUUGUUAAACUGCCUUAAUUUCGAUAGAUGAAGCAAGCAGAGCCAGGAGAAGUUGGGGAGAUCAGCUAAGAUCACUGGGCAGUCAGGUGCUGAUCCACGUCCAAACUUCUGAACCAGGGAGGCAUACAAGAUGCUUUAGUGACUUACAUGUGUGUGCCAUUUUUAUUUGUCUCCAACACCCACCCUAUGUUGGAUGCCAUCUCAAUUCUUCUUGUGUAUUGAGAAUGAGUCUUUUAUCUAAGCUCGUUAAAACAGAAAUUCCAUCCAUAUUUACUUCAAAAGACUCAAAAAUACAAUUUAAUAGAAUACUUAAUAUGAAUUUCACAGGCACCAAAGUUUACAGCUGUUGAGGAUGAGGUCACACUGGCCCAACUAAAGUCAUGUCACCUCUCUCACAUCGUAGCAUUCUUUUAUCCUUGUUUUACACUCUUAAGAGAUAGCAUAAAGAAGAAAAUCAAAACCCAGAAAAGGUUUGCUGUAAUUACUCCAAUAAUUUCCUUCAGUGAAAAUCUCUUAUCACUAUGAUUUUAGUGACAGAGGAACAAGCAGAGCUCUGACGUGGGGCUGAGUGCCCACUACUAAAGGGCAGAGGCUGCCGCCAGGCCACCAAGGCCCAUCUGGCCAGGCAAGGCCACCCAGAGCCCUCACGUUUACUCCAAACGGCCAUUCUUGAGCCAGCUGGGUUGGGUCCCACCCCUUCUGGCUUGCACCACCACAAAGAAAACCUCAAGAAUAUCUGCUUUGCCGUUUUUUUUUUUUUUUGCAGACAGAGUCUCGCUCUGUCACCAGGCUGGAGUGCAGUGGUGUGAUCUCGACUCACUGCAACCUCCGCCUCUUGGGUUCAAGCGAUUCUUCUGCCUCAGCCUCCCGAGUAACUGGGACUACAGGCACGCACCACUACGCCCAGCUAAUUUUUAUAUUUUUAGUAGAGACGGGAUUCCACCAUGUUGGCCAGGAUGGUCUCGAUCUCUUGACCUUGUGAUCCGCCCGCCUCGGCCUCCCAAAGUGCUGGGACUACAGGCGUGAGCCACUGCGCCCGGCUGCCUUUUUUUUUUUUUAAAAAAGGAGAAAAGUAACAAUAAACAACAGCCUUAAGAAAAAACAAGAAGCAACACAGAUCAUAUGGGAAGCACAACUUUCUCAGCCAAGUAGCCCAAAUUAUCACAAAUAAUCCUACCAAGAAUACACCUAAUACUGGAGGGGAAAGAAUGCUUACACAAAACUGUUGUUUGCUUUGAAGCUUUGAAUAAGUUCCAAGUUUUUAUAUUUCACAAUUUAUAUACUUUAUUACAGUCCACAGUCUGCUAAAUAAAAGCAGUAACAAGAUAUUUCACAAACUAUUGUACAAAUUAAGUCUUAUG
This 2687-nucleotide long non-coding RNA is filed under the name Homo sapiens (human). RNAcentral describes it as "HSALNT0061419". Lineage: Eukaryota; Metazoa; Chordata; Mammalia; Primates; Hominidae. The record is from RNAcentral.